This 498-nucleotide ribosomal RNA is filed under the name uncultured bacterium. RNAcentral's name for it is "partial 16S ribosomal RNA". It matches the Rfam family "Bacterial small subunit ribosomal RNA", at positions 30 to 523 of the family's 1533-position model. The record is from RNAcentral.
AUUGAACGCUGGCGACAUGCCUUACACAUGCAAGUCGAACGGUAACAGGUCUUCGGAUGCUGACGAGUGGCGAACGGGUGAGUAAUACAUCGGGACGUGCCUAGUAGUGGAGGAUAACUACUCGGAAGAGUGGCUAAUACCGCAUGAGAUCUACGGAUGAAAGCAGGGGAUCGCAAGACCUUGUGCUACUAGAGCGGCCGAUGGCAGAUUAGGUAGUUGGUGGGAUAAAAGCUUACCAAGCCGACGAUCUGUGGCUGGUCUGAGAGGACGAUCAGCCACACUGGGACUGAGACACGGCCCAGACUCCUACGGGAGGCAGCAGUGGGGAAUUUUGGACAAUGGGCGAAAGCCUGAUCCAGCAAUGCCGCGUGCAGGACGAAGGCCUUCGGGUUGUAAACUGCUUUUGUACGGAACGAAAAGCCCUGGGUUAAUACCCUGGGGUCAUGACGGUACCGUAAGAAUAAGCACCGGCUAACUACGUGCCAGCCGCCGCCGUAA